AGGUGGAUGAUCGAACAUCAUGGAGGCCACGAAAGUCCUCUAAUGCGAGUGUGAAUUCCGGAUCUAGUGACGAUAUUUCCAGUGACUGUAUGAGCCCUAGAGAUUUCACGGCUCCUGCCAAAUCUGCAUUUGAUUCUGCUGAAAACACUGCAUUCAGUUCAGUUAGCGGUAACAAUACGCCUGAUCCUGGGGGGGAUGCAACCAGUGAAGGUACUGCCACACAAGUCAAUGGAGAUAUGAUAUCUACUGAUUACAACUGAAGUUGACACUCACAAUGGAAGUAGGAAGCACAAGGAUGGUAAACCGUCGACAACCCGUUUGUAUAUUCUGUUGUUGUGAAAGUGCCAUUCCAUUUUUAUAUCAGAAAUCGCCCUCCUCGAGGACACCCCUGUACCCAUAUAAUCAGCCCAAAUUCGGUUAUACGUUCAUGUGUGAUUGUUUAAAGUGCUUAUGACACUUAAUUUUACCCAACCUUUUCUUGAUUUCAUCGCAAAGAUAAUUUAAAAUGACUAUAUAUUAUAUAAUCUCUUUAGUAGAAUAGUUGCAGCUCUUUUCUUUCGCAAGAUCUUCAACUUUGUUUGACGUGCAAAUAUCAUUUGUAUCACUGCGUAAUGAGAUUUUGGAAGAGCAUCAUUAAUUUUGAAAUUGAUUAAAAUAUUCCACACACAGAGAUACGGGGGACUAAUGGGCAUAUGACUCGAAAAUUGACGGUGUUAUUGUUUAGUAUAAUUUGAAAGAUCGUUGAAAACUGUAGAGUAACUUCUUUGACAGAUUUUUGUUUUCUUGCUUCGUUUUGAAGAUAUUUCAUUUUAUAUGCAAAGCCCAACUUCCUACGUCACAUAUGCAUAAUGAUUUAGCCCUAAAAAAACUGUAUAUCUUUAAUACGACUAAACACAAUCAGUAGAGAACCUACAUGGGUGUUGUUGUGGACAAAUUUCGUGCUCAUCAUUCAUUUUGAGCGAAUUUAUUUGAUAGUGAUAAAAUUAUAUAACAUUUUAAAGUAAGUCAUUAUGCAUUUGUGACGUAAAAAGUUGAUCCUUUGCAUAUCAUACAAAAUGAAAUAUCUCCAAAACGAAGCAAGAAAACAAAAAUCUGUCAAAGAACUUACUCUACAGUUUUCAAUGAUCUUUCAAUUUAGACUAACAAAAUAACACCGUCAAUUUUCUAGUCAUAUGCCCCUCCUCAACUGGUUUAUCCUCGUAUAGGCACAAUUUUAAAUAUUCCUUACCCCACAAGAUAAACACUCUGUUAUAGAAACUCAUUAUGCAGUGUGCUGUCACACUGAUGAUAUUUGCAUAUCAAAGUUGAAUAUCUCUGAGAGGAACAAAGCUACAAGUAUUCUACGAAAGCAGUUAUAUUGUCAUUUUAAAUGAUCUUUGCGAUUUGCAAUCAAGAAAAGAUAAGCUUAGAAUUUCUACAGUGAUAUCCAACCUCAUAACAAUUUCUCCAGAAAUUAUAUACCAAUAAAUAACAAGUAUAUGUUGAACACGUUGCAAUUUCACGAGGCGAAGCUAAAAGUUACAAAAAAUAGUUUGCGAGUGUAGCUUCUGGAAAUUCCACAGGUACCGUCAGGAAGAUUGGGGUUUAAAUGAAACAGGAAAUUACCCAAAAAUAAAAAUUCGCAGAAACCAAACGGUUAUAAUCCGUUUUGCAAGCGAGAGCAUAAGCGAAGAUGAGGAAAUAGAGUCAUUUACAAGAUAUUUUUAAUCGAUUCAUUUUAGCGUGAUAAAAGAUUCUAUUCUGUGCCAACAGAGAAGUAGUAUUUAUAUUAUAUAAUUCGGUAAUCAUUUAUAUUAAAUGUACUGUUAUAUUGAAGCAUAAAUAUGUGCUUGUGUGUGUUAACAAAAAAGCGAUAUGACUUUAUUACUAGUAUAAGCUAAUACUGUAGCAUUUGAAUGCUUUUUAGACUUAAUAUGCGUUAAAUUAAUAAAUUGUUAUGUUAAAUAUUUAAUAAUACACGUAAAAUAUAAACAAAAACAGUCCAAACACUACACAUGCAUAUAUGGUAUCAAAUUUUAUUAAAUAAAUAGCUAUGUUUCCCGAAGGUGGGCAAACCAGGA
RNAcentral lists this long non-coding RNA (2060 nucleotides) under Paramuricea clavata. The record is from RNAcentral. Lineage: Eukaryota; Metazoa; Cnidaria; Anthozoa; Malacalcyonacea; Plexauridae.